CGGCAUUCUUGUAUAUACUGCAUUUUCACUAUCAAAUUGUGUUUAGGCCCUCUAACUGGCCUCAGUUCUUUGAGAAACUAGGAAAGAUGAUCUAGCAAACCAGUCUAUUAAACAAAACUCUUCUUGUUUAAGAAACUUCUCUGGCAAAUUUUCCUCAAAUGCUGAAUCAACAAUUUCUCACUGACAGAUUUUAAAUUCGGAAAUGUGCUCCGAAUUUUACAAUUCCAACCAACGACUGUAAUAUUUGAGACAACUCAUUGUUUUUCAAGUUGUACACUUAAGACUGGGAAAUAAAAUUAUUAAGUCUGUACAUUAGCACUGAGAGUGAGGGCUAAAGUUUAAUCCACUCUUUUGCGCAGAAUGAUGUACAUAAUUCCAGUGAAGAGGGUCAGCAGCCACCCGAACCAGGCCAUGACGUAGGACCAGCCAUACCAGCCAUUCUUCUCACCUCUGUGAAAGUGAUCGCUGUAGACUGACAGAGCCACCAUAAUGCAGAAACCUAGAGAUUUACUGAAGCAGGGACUUACAGGAGAUGAGCUGCAGGACCCCAGAGAUGGUGAACCGCUUUCCUUUGCCCAGAGUAAAGAGCUGGAACAUGAACACGCACAGAGAGAACACAGCAAACAGGCAGGACAGAACUGCAA
This is a long non-coding RNA of Carassius carassius (crucian carp), 644 nucleotides long. RefSeq lists it as uncharacterized. The record is from RefSeq and is a predicted model, not a curated record. The transcript is spliced from 3 exons. NCBI's taxonomy places the organism in Eukaryota, Metazoa, Chordata, Actinopteri, Cypriniformes, Cyprinidae.